Molecule: long non-coding RNA, 376 nt
Organism: Arabidopsis thaliana (thale cress)
Lineage: Eukaryota; Viridiplantae; Streptophyta; Magnoliopsida; Brassicales; Brassicaceae
Product: other RNA
Exons: 1
Source: RefSeq
AGAGAAGAGUCAAGACCACGCGCCAUACUUGGUUCCCACUAAGGUUAACGACGAGGCAGACAAGCAACUUAUCUUAAUCUGUGAAUGAUUAUGACAUUUAUAUUAUUAUGAAUAAGUUUUCAUAUACUAAUAUUGGGUACUACAACAGAACCUUCAUCCUUAACCAAAACCAAACCAAACCAAAAUUUGAACCGAAAUUCUAAAAUCAAAACCAAAACCGAUUCUAGAGAAGUCAUCCUAGGUGGCUGCCCAAGCUCCGGUCUACCAUAUUUGAACAGAGGAACAAUGUACUCCAUAAUCUGCAGUCCAUCCCUCCUCUGCUCAUCUUCAAGUCUAUCGAUCAUAAGGUACGCAAUACCAUCUCCGUUUCGGCGUC